GGGCCAUGUCCGGCAAGGCGGGAGCGCGGACGCGGCUCGCGACGAGGAACGGGCCGUCCAGGGCUCUUGCUGCUUGUUUAAGUCCAUAAAGUCCUUUCUUGAGGUUGUACGUGA
Elgaria multicarinata webbii is the source of this 114-nucleotide long non-coding RNA. RefSeq lists it as uncharacterized. The record is from RefSeq and is a predicted model, not a curated record. The transcript is spliced from 2 exons. Lineage: Eukaryota; Metazoa; Chordata; Lepidosauria; Squamata; Anguidae.